GAAUGUGAAGUUUGAUCUGGCCGCGACAUCUGUCACCCCAUUGAUGGCUAGGGUUGAUUCAGCUGAUCUGGCUGGCUAGGCAGGUGUCCCCUUCCUCCCUCAUCACAUCACCUGUGUCCCUCCUGAAGCUGUGUGCUAGGCCAAAGAGGACAAUGUUCCCAGAGUUGAGAUGGACUGGUCUUUGGUUGAGAAUAUACAAGUAGCUGUGUUCCCCUGCUAGCACCUCCAAACAAGCUCUCAAGAAUAUUUGCUUUAACUGACAGCCAUCUGGAGAAACAACUAGAAAAAAAAAUAGAAAUAGUGAAAUUUCCAUUAAAACAAGUAAUAUGAUAAGAAUGUUUUCUUU
This 346-nucleotide small nuclear RNA is filed under the name Erinaceus europaeus (western European hedgehog). RNAcentral's name for it is "7SK RNA". It matches the Rfam family "7SK RNA". Rfam says of the family: 7SK was discovered as an abundant small nuclear RNA in the mid-70s but a possible function has only recently been suggested. Two independent studies have found that 7SK RNA binds the CDK9/cyclin T complex (known as elongation factor P-TEFb). P-TEFb activates transcription by phosphorylating the C-terminal domain of RNA polymerase II. The record is from Rfam by way of RNAcentral. Lineage: Eukaryota; Metazoa; Chordata; Mammalia; Eulipotyphla; Erinaceidae.